GCAAACUUGGUCAUUUAGAGGAAGUAAAAGUCGUAACAAGGUUUCCGUAGGUGAACCUGCGGAAGGAUCAUUACCAAUCUUUUGCAAGACCCCUGUGGUCUUGCGAAAACCCAGUAUUUAAAACCCAACUCAUGAUAAUAUUAUAAUAAAUAUACCGUAUCAAUCAUGAUAUGUAAUUAAAGAUCACUUUCAACAACGGAUCUCUUGGCUCUUGCAUCGAUGAAGAACGCAGC
RNAcentral lists this unclassified non-coding RNA (233 nucleotides) under uncultured fungus. RNAcentral's name for it is "partial contains small subunit ribosomal RNA, internal transcribed spacer 1, and 5.8S ribosomal RNA". The stretch from base 1 to 73 matches the Rfam family "Eukaryotic small subunit ribosomal RNA", at positions 1759 to 1831 of the family's 1831-position model. Lineage: Eukaryota; Fungi. The record is from RNAcentral.